Prunus dulcis (almond) is the source of this 360-nucleotide long non-coding RNA. RefSeq lists it as uncharacterized. The record is from RefSeq and is a predicted model, not a curated record. The transcript has 2 exons. NCBI's taxonomy places the organism in Eukaryota, Viridiplantae, Streptophyta, Magnoliopsida, Rosales, Rosaceae.
UCUAACUCUUGGAUGAAAAAUUGAAGUUCGUGUCUUUAGAUAUCUUUUGACGGUAUCGUAAUGGGAAGUCUGUUAGUUUUUCCUCCCUGGCCUUUCUCUUAUUUUUCAUUUCUUUUCUGAAUUCUCAAUUGCUGAACCAUUGCGACAGGCAUUGGUAAAAAUUGGUUUCUCGCUGGACUCUCCCGCUUUCUACACAGUCUGUGAGAGCUUUGAUCAAAAGAAGAAAGGAAUGUUCCGACUAGAUGACUUCAUAUCUCUUUGUAUAUUUUUGCAGUCUGCUCUCAUACGAAAGAGAGGGAGUUUUUAUUUCAUUUUUCAAUAUUUAUUUAUUUUUAACAAACGAAAUGACCAAUUUGCCCU